GCCAUUAUGGCCGGGGUACCAUAUUUUUCUUUGAGUUUGAUGAUGGCUCUGAUUGAACGCUGUCCAAGUACUUGACACAUGCUAAUCGUACGACUAAUUAGUUAAUUAUUAACUAAGUAGUAGUGGUGUACAGGUGAGUAAAAGAUAAUUUGGCUACCUUAAAGUAAGGGGAAAAUCCCUUAUAUAAAGAAAGGAAAUAAAGGUCUGCUUUAAGAUGUUAUUCUUUAUCUCGGUGAGUAGUAGGAAAGGGAAUGUCUUUUCUAGCUAACAUCCGUAGUCGUGACUGAGAGGUCGAUCGACCACAUUGGGUCUGAAAAAACCCCAAUGCGUAUUAGUACCAGCCAUUGAGGGAAUAUUUGGUCAAUGGCCUAACNGGGUGAACCCAGUAACUUGGGAAGAAUGAAAAUUGUUUUA
Molecule: ribosomal RNA, 414 nt
Filed under: Rasamsonia emersonii
Lineage: Eukaryota; Fungi; Ascomycota; Eurotiomycetes; Eurotiales; Trichocomaceae
Description: SSU rRNA
Rfam family: Bacterial small subunit ribosomal RNA
Source: RNAcentral